RNAcentral lists this microRNA precursor (97 nucleotides) under Branchiostoma belcheri (Belcher's lancelet). RNAcentral's name for it is "microRNA bbe-mir-182c precursor". Its record names the gene bbe-mir-182c. Lineage: Eukaryota; Metazoa; Chordata; Leptocardii; Amphioxiformes; Branchiostomatidae. The record is from miRBase by way of RNAcentral.
ACCUCUGGGUCAGCUUACUUGGCACUUGUGGAAUUUUUUGCUCAGCAAGACUUUGUGUCAAAGAAUUCCCCAGUACUAAGUAUGCUGGCUUGGGAUG